AUGAUAAUGACAGUACCUGGUAAAGAAACCCCGGCUAACUCCGUGCCAGCAGCCGCGGUAAUACGGAGGGGGUUAGCGUUGUUCGGAAUUACUGGGCGUAAAGCGCACGUAGGCGGAUCAGAAAGUUGGGGGUGAAAUCCCAGGGCUCAACCCUGGAACUGCCUCCAAAACUCCUGGUCUUGAGUUCGAGAGAGGUGAGUGGAAUUCCGAGUGUAGAGGUGAAAUUCGUAGAUAUUCGGAGGAACACCAGUGGCGAAGGCGGCUCACUGGCUCGAUACUGACGCUGAGGUGCGAAAGUGUGGGGAGCAAACAGGAUUAGAUACCCUGGUAGUCCACACCGUAAACGAUGAAUGCCAGUCGUCGGGUAGCAUGCUAUUCGGGGACACACCUAACGGAUUAAGCAUUCCGCCUGGGAAGUCCGGUCGCAAGAUUAGAACUCGAAGGAAUUGACGGA
This 454-nucleotide ribosomal RNA is filed under the name Marinovum algicola. Its description in RNAcentral is "bacterial SSU rRNA". It matches the Rfam family "Bacterial small subunit ribosomal RNA", at positions 463 to 917 of the family's 1533-position model. Lineage: Bacteria; Pseudomonadati; Pseudomonadota; Alphaproteobacteria; Rhodobacterales; Roseobacteraceae. The record is from RNAcentral.